UACGUAGGGGGCAAGCGUUGUCCGGAUUUAUUGGGCGUAAAGAGCGUGUAGGCGGCCAGAUAGGUCUGCUGUGAAAACUCGAGGCUCAACCUCGAGCUGUCGGCGGAAACCCUCUGGCUAGAGUCCGGAAGAGGAGAGUGGAAUUCCUGGUGUAGCGGUGAAAUGCGCAGAUAUCAGGAAGAACACCUAUGGCGAAGGCAGCUCUCUGGGACGGUACUGACGCUGAGACGCGAAAGCGUGGGGAGCGAACAGG
This 253-nucleotide ribosomal RNA is filed under the name uncultured bacterium. RNAcentral describes it as "partial 16S ribosomal RNA". It matches the Rfam family "Bacterial small subunit ribosomal RNA", at positions 524 to 776 of the family's 1533-position model. The record is from RNAcentral.